This 839-nucleotide long non-coding RNA is filed under the name Oryctolagus cuniculus (rabbit). RNAcentral's name for it is "lncRNA (ENSOCUG00000035710.1)". The record is from RNAcentral. Lineage: Eukaryota; Metazoa; Chordata; Mammalia; Lagomorpha; Leporidae.
ACAUUUCCCAAUUUCAGGGAAUUUUGUUGAAAUAAGUGCAAAUUCUGAAUGCCAGCCAAGUAAUAUUUGCUUUUGGAUUAAGACUGUUAAGUGCAUUUAAGUUCCUCUUCUGCGUUUAUGCCUUUCGUCUUUGUUUCUACAUAAAAGUCGGAGAAAAUUACUGGCUCAUUGUCUGCACAGCUCAUGGAUGACAUCUGCUGCUUUGCCCUCAGCACCUCACGGAAAUUUCAAGGUUAGGAUUUCGAGUUUACUUUUUCAUGUCUUCAUUCAUUCUUCUGCUGACUUCCCAGGAAUAAUAUCCUACCUGUGAAGCUCUAUGACUGCCUAAAGUUUUUACACCCUAAAAUUAUAUGGAAAUUAAGAAAAAGAUUCCAAGCUUACUCUCAGAUCCAAGAAAUAGAAGGAGGAGGGGAAAAAGAGGAAGGGAGAAACAGAGAGAACAAGAAGUGGAAGAGGAGAGUACUAAAAUGUUAAGAAGCAGAGAAUAUAUUUGAAAGGCAGUUGGAGAUCGUUUUACUCGUAUAUAUAUGCAACCAUAAAGUAAGUACAUAACGAUAUGUCAAAACUUCAUUUGUACCUAGUUUUACUUCCAAUAUUAAGACAAUGAGAGAUACUUAAUGGUUUCUAUUUCCAAAAUCAACAAUAUACCAUUUCAGAUGAAUAUGGGAGAAUUAGAAUUCAACUUUGUUGUGUGCCAAUGUGCAAUGUAAAGCACAUACUGAGAAGUUUCUAAGAUUGAAGAAAUGUAUGCAAUUUCAUGUAUACGACAUUUUUAUCAAGAACCUUUUAUAUAUAAGCCUUUUAAUAAAAUCCCACUUUGGAAGUAUCUAAUAUCGUUU